This is a small nucleolar RNA of Manis pentadactyla (Chinese pangolin), 75 nucleotides long. RefSeq annotates it as small nucleolar RNA SNORD26. The transcript has a single exon. NCBI's taxonomy places the organism in Eukaryota, Metazoa, Chordata, Mammalia, Pholidota, Manidae. The record is from RefSeq and is a predicted model, not a curated record.
CUGCGGGGAUGAUAAAAAUAAUUGAACUCUCUCUUUCUGAUGGAUUAGUGGAGAAAACUUAAAAUUCUGAGUAGU